UUCUACAUCUAAAGUCUGUGUGUGUUCUUUUAGCAGAAACUGAAGUCUCCUAUCACUCCAGUGUUGCUCAGCACUCCUGCCAAACUUAGCGGACCAAGACCAAAUGACAGGGAAGCUGCGAGGCCUGAACCUGUAGGAUUCAGAUACUGGAGGACACCUGAAAAAACACCAUCUGUCCUCCAUCAGGCUUCAGGAUCUGUGAGCUCCGAGGGAGGACGAAAUGGAUCGCAAG
This 232-nucleotide long non-coding RNA is filed under the name Sinocyclocheilus grahami. Its description in RNAcentral is "lncRNA (ENSSGRG00000043169.1)". Lineage: Eukaryota; Metazoa; Chordata; Actinopteri; Cypriniformes; Cyprinidae. The record is from RNAcentral.